This 137-nucleotide ribosomal RNA is filed under the name uncultured Synechococcus sp. RNAcentral describes it as "partial 16S ribosomal RNA". Lineage: Bacteria; Bacillati; Cyanobacteriota; Cyanophyceae; Synechococcales; Synechococcaceae. The record is from RNAcentral.
CACGGAAUUAGCCGUGGCUUAUUCCUCAAGUACCGUCAGAUCUUCUUCCUUGAGAAAAGAGGUUUACAGCCCAGAGGCCUUCAUCCCUCACGCGGCGUUGCUCCGUCAGGCUUUCGCCCAUUGCGGAAAAUUCCCCA